Molecule: long non-coding RNA, 1948 nt
Organism: Phascolarctos cinereus (koala)
Lineage: Eukaryota; Metazoa; Chordata; Mammalia; Diprotodontia; Phascolarctidae
Source: Ensembl
CUCCUCCCCCAGUUCUGUCACUUUGGCACCAAGUUUUCAAAUUGCUUCAAUUUGGGGCACAUGCAAAAUAUGUUAACAUUAACUGGAUAAAGUUGUGCAGCUACUUUUGCCUGUAAUUGGUCCGUCAACAAAAUGGAGGUCCCUUUGAAAAACUGACCUCGACAAUCUGUCACAAAAUGGGACUAAACCCACCCACUUCACGAAACCAUGGUUUGGGUCAGAUUUUCUCCAAAAAGUGGGAUUGUCUGUGUCGGGUCUGUGCCUGGCCAGAGCCCUCAUUAGGGGUUUCGCCCUACACCUAAGUAAAGAGUCGCUUUCCUUGGGACUAGGGAGCAAUGGAGUUUCUCUCCCAGUCAAUAUCCAGGAGGGAGGCGGCGAAGAAUUACUGAGUUCCCUAUUGGGGAACUAGUUCUCCAUCACAGGGACCAGAAUCCGUGCGAAUGAGAAGGCAGCUAGUGGCUCCGCAGUGCGCCGGGCCCAUGGGGGACCUCGGCUGCAAAGCAAAGGUCUUUCAGGUUAAGCCCGACAAACCCAAGGUUUCUAGUCUAGGGUAAAUCAACAAAAAUGCCCGAUCUCUCGUCUUUCUACCUGCCGGCCCGACCCCGCCUCGUCCCAUUGGUAGCAGCUCCCGCCAAUCGUCGGAAUCACCGCCUUCAGGCCCGCCCACCGGCCCCAGAUUGGUGUGGAAAGAAGAGCGGGGGACCUCGUGCUACCAAUCUCCGGCUCCCCUACGGCCGUCUAGCGCACUAGGCAGGUCGAGGGCUAGAUGCCGCUCGCUCGCUCCGCUCCCCUCCCCCCUUCUCCACGCACUUCCCACCCCCGUCCCGGUUCCUUACGCCCGUCCCCGGGGCUCUGGCUUGUGGCUUACCGUCCCGAGAAGUGCCCAUCAGCUGGUCCAGCAUAGCACGCAUCUGGGCCUGCGCCGACAUGGCGGCGGCGGCAGCAGCAGCGGCGUAGUGAGCGAGCAAUCGGGAGGGGCACCAGAGGCAUCACUUUCAUGGUUUCUUUCACCUGACCAAAGACCAUGUAUUUUCCAUCCCACCACUGAGUCUUUACAGUAGAGAAGAAAAGCCACUGAACCAUUCGUGUUGGGACAAAGUGAAUGAACCUGUUUACUUCAGGAUGAAGUUCAAAUUUUUCCCUUAAGAUUGACUUGCCACCAGUGCUAUCAUAGCCCUGCUGUGAGUUGCUACUCUGGUGCAUAAGCCUAAGAAAGAUUCUGUGAAAGCUGGAGUCCUUGUAACAAAAUUCAUCCUCACCAUAUUAAGAGCAUUUAAAUUUCCUGCUGCUUUUGAAACUUUGUCAAUAGAGACCUCAAAAGUGACGGAGCCCAGGGACAAGGUGAGAGAGAUGGGCCAUGGUUAGAGAGAGUUUGUUCUGAAAACAGCAGUGACUAUUGCCUCCCUUGUUCUGAACAUUAUACAGAAGUAUUAGUGCAACCAAAGAUAAGCUGCCAUAUCACACUGCUGGCUCUUUCUGAACAUGUAAGUCUCAUAGUUCUUUAGUAUUUGUAGGAUUUAUAGCUUGAAGGAACUUUAAAGAUCACUGGUCCAAACACUUGCUUUGUAUUACAGAUAAAGAAACUGAGACCCAGAGACUUGCCUAAGGUCACAGAUAACACAUAGCUGAGCUAAGAUUUGAACACAGGGCUCAUUCCACAAAAUGAGUAUUUGCUUCUCUUCUAAACAUUAAACUAGAUGCUUUCCCUUCCUCUUUCCCUUAUCUUAUGCUGUGACUUCUGAGUGGAAACUGGAAGUACUGUCAGGCCCAGGAACCUCUGGCUCUUAUUGGCUUGUUCCUCUCAGAACCCCAAUUUUAAGGUUAGGUUGGUAACAUGUAGGUCCAUUCUUCUUUUAUUUUAUAUGUGAAUGUAAGCUCCUCGAGAGCAAAGCUUGUUUAUUAACUAACACCAGUGCUGAAUUAAAUAAAAGUAUUUAAUUAUAAUGCA